This 1096-nucleotide long non-coding RNA is filed under the name Cricetulus griseus (Chinese hamster). RNAcentral describes it as "lncRNA (ENSCGRG00015033199.1)". Lineage: Eukaryota; Metazoa; Chordata; Mammalia; Rodentia; Cricetidae. The record is from RNAcentral.
AUUGAUAGGAACCAGGAGGUGAAAAUGGCUCUCAUAUUAGGGCUCCUACCCAUCCAGGCCCUGAGCCUGCCUUCACCCCCCACGACGCCUGCCUCCCACAGACACGCCCCUCAGGACCUCCUUAGCCCUCCUUCCAUCUCCCCAACUCCAGCCAGAGGGACUUCAGAGAAAGCCUAGAAGUUCCUUCCUCCCAAACAGACGUGGCAACCUGGUCUUGGUCUUAUUAAUCAGGAAUGUUCUCCAGAGACCCUGCUGGAGGCUGGCAUGUCGGCUACAAGCCUGUCUUCAGCAGCAGGGGACUGAUUUCUCUGCAGAAAGCUUGCAGAAGCCCUACUCUGCAAAUGCGUCAGCCGCCAUUCCAUGAUCCUGCCUUGGGAGGUCUGUGAGGGCCCAGCCCACUUCCCACCGGAAGUUCUGAAGUUCUGGAUCAGGGUGCUGGUAGGGUUGGGCCUCUUGAGGGCUGAGAGAGAAUGUUGUGGCAUAUGCUAGCAAGAUGGCUCAGUGACUAAGGCUUGCCACUAAUCCUGACAAUUGAAGUUAGAUCCCUGGGACUCACAUGGUAAAAUGACAGAAUGCCAGGUGUGUCAUGGCAUACAUACUCACACACAUGCACUCACAUACACACAUGCAAAUAAAUGUGAAAAAAAUGUUAAAGAUGCCUUUAGCUCCUGGGCUUGGUAGUUGUGAUGACUAUUCUUGGUUGUCAGCUUAACUACAUCUGGAAUUAACUAAAACCCCCAAAUAGAGGGAACACCCAUGAGGAAUUUCUGCUUAACUUGAAGUGAGAAGAUCUACUUCUAGUCUGGAUCUUUAAAGUAAAAAGACACAACUUUAAUCCAGAUCUUUAAUCUAGAUCUAAUCUGGGCCAUGACUUCUUCUGGAAACCUGUAUAAAAACGUGGAAGAAGGAAGCUUUUGUUCUUUGCCUGCUUGCCCUUGCCUGGCUAACAAGUCCAUUCCUUCACUGGCAUUACAGCUUACUUCUUCAGGAUUCCAGCAUCUACUGAAGACCAGCUGAGACAUCCGGUCUUGUGGACUUAGAAUCAUCUGGAAUUUUCGACUUUCUGUUCAUAGCCCACCAUUGUUGGUCUAGGUGG